Molecule: ribosomal RNA, 248 nt
Filed under: uncultured bacterium
Lineage: Bacteria
Description: partial 16S ribosomal RNA
Rfam family: Bacterial small subunit ribosomal RNA
Source: RNAcentral
AUACGUAGGGUGCGAGCGUUAAUCGGAAUUACUGGGCGUAAAGCGUGCGCAGGCGGAUUGUUAAGCAAGAUGUGAAAUCCCCCGGGCUUAACCUGGGAAUGGCAUUUUGAACUGGCAGUCUAGAGUGCGUCAGAGGGGGGUGGAAUUCCACGUGUAGCAGUGAAAUGCGUAGAGAUGUGGAGGAACACCAAUGGCGAAGGCAGCCCCCUGGGAUGACACUGACGCUCAUGUACGAAAGCGUGGGUAGC